UGAACGCUGGCGGCAUGGAUUAGGCAUGCAAGUCGAACGUGAAGCUUUAGCUUGCUAAAGUGGAAAGUGGCGCAAGGGUGAGUAACACGUGAGUAAUCUGCCCCCGACUUCGGGAUAGCCCCGGGAAACUGGGAUUAAUACCGAAUGUGGUUUGUCCUGCACAUGCAGGGCUCUACUAAAGAUUGAGUUCGGUCGGGGAUGAGCUCGCGGCCCAUUAGCUUGUUGGUAAGGUAACGGCUUACCAAGGCUACGACGGGUAGGUGGUCUGAGAGGAUGGUCACCCACACUGGGACUGAGACACUGCCCAGACUCCUACGGGAGGCUGCAGUCGAGAAUCUUCCGCAAUGGGCGAAAGCCUGACGGAGCAAUGCCGCGUGAGGGAUGAAGGCCUUCGGGUUGUAAACCUCUGUCAGAGGGGACGAAAUUUGACGGUACCCUCAGAGGAAGCCACGGCUAACUAC
This 461-nucleotide ribosomal RNA is filed under the name uncultured bacterium. RNAcentral's name for it is "bacterial SSU rRNA". It matches the Rfam family "Bacterial small subunit ribosomal RNA", at positions 30 to 504 of the family's 1533-position model. The record is from RNAcentral.